UGUGGGAGGGGGCUUGCUCCCGAUAGCGGUGUGUCAGAUGGAACUGUUUUGACUGACGCAUCGCUAUCGGGAGCAAGCCCCCUCCCACA
Molecule: unclassified non-coding RNA, 89 nt
Filed under: Pseudomonas extremaustralis
Lineage: Bacteria; Pseudomonadati; Pseudomonadota; Gammaproteobacteria; Pseudomonadales; Pseudomonadaceae
Source: RNAcentral